This 238-nucleotide long non-coding RNA is filed under the name Capsicum annuum. Its description in RNAcentral is "long non-coding RNA (CANN_LNC006666)". The record is from RNAcentral. Lineage: Eukaryota; Viridiplantae; Streptophyta; Magnoliopsida; Solanales; Solanaceae.
UGCCCUAAGACUCAGAAGGUAAAAGUUGAGAUUUAUCAACACGUUCACAAGACUAUUGAUAAUACAUAGCUUGUUGACUUUACAUACAGAGCGGCAGAAUAGGUGGGUUGAACACGAGAAACUUACAGAGUUAAGAAGCCAGGGGUAACACAGUCCUAGUGUUCGUAUUCUAUUGUUUACAACUCAAAGUAUUCAAGUUCGAUUACUUCUUACAGAUUACUUCCACCCCACCCCCCCA